RNAcentral lists this ribosomal RNA (465 nucleotides) under uncultured bacterium. Its description in RNAcentral is "partial 16S ribosomal RNA". It matches the Rfam family "Bacterial small subunit ribosomal RNA", at positions 339 to 795 of the family's 1533-position model. The record is from RNAcentral.
CUACGGGGGGCUGCAGUGGGGAAUAUUGGACAAUGGGGGAAACCCUGAUCCAGCAAUGCCGCGUGUGUGAAGAAGGCCUGCGGGUUGUAAAGCACUUUCGGUUGGGAGGACUGCUUCUAGCACUAAUAUUGUUGGAAGUUGACGUUACCUUCAGAAGAAGCACCGGCUAACUCCGUGCCAGCAGCCGCGGUAAUACGGAGGGUGCAAGCGUUAAUCGGAAUUACUGGGCGUAAAGCGCGCGUAGGCGGCUAGAUCAGUCGGGUGUGAAAGCCCCGGGCUUAACCUGGGAACUGCAUCCGAUACUGUCUAGCUUGAGUACAGGAGAGGAGAGUGGAAUUCCACAUGUAGCGGUGAAAUGCGUAGAUAUGUGGAGGAACACCAAUGGCGAAGGCAGCUCUCUGGCCUGAUUCUGACGCUGAGGUGCGAAGGCGUGGGGAGCAAACAGGAUUAGAUACCCGUGUAGUC